Non-coding RNA from Rhodocollybia butyracea, 86 nucleotides. Lineage: Eukaryota; Fungi; Basidiomycota; Agaricomycetes; Agaricales; Omphalotaceae. The record is from the annotation of a GenBank genome assembly.
UCCGGUGUGGUGUAGUGGUUAACAUCGCUGUCUUUCAUUACGUUUGAUUUGCACAGUAGCCCGGGGUUCGAUUCCCCGCUCCGGAA